This 200-nucleotide unclassified non-coding RNA is filed under the name Cladophialophora sp. RNAcentral describes it as "partial internal transcribed spacer 2". Lineage: Eukaryota; Fungi; Ascomycota; Eurotiomycetes; Chaetothyriales; Herpotrichiellaceae. The record is from RNAcentral.
UUAAGUUCAGCGCGUAUUCCUACCUGAUCCGAGGUCAACCAUUGAAAAAUUUCCCGCUGAAGGGAGAGGACCGGGUCCCGGGUGCCCUGGUCCGGCACGUGCUCAGUUACAAGCUCAGUGUACCGGGGGAACCACAGGCCGCCGUCAUUGUCUUUAGGAGGGGUCGCGAUAACGCGGCCAGGCCGUCCAACACCAAGCAC